Molecule: long non-coding RNA, 1792 nt
Filed under: Homo sapiens (human)
Lineage: Eukaryota; Metazoa; Chordata; Mammalia; Primates; Hominidae
Description: long intergenic non-protein coding RNA 320
Source: RNAcentral
CAGCUGGACUGUGUGAUUUUUGUUCUUUAGUAGAAGGAUAACAUGACAUAGCAGGAAUAAUACUGCCUUUUCUUUCUGGCAUGGAUCAAGAGAAAAGAAAAUACAAGAAAACAGACAGAAGAUCCUAUCUGCGACAAUUAAGAGCACUCUAAGAGGAAAACACAUCCCACCACACAAGGCAAGGUACUUCUAUGGAAGGGUGAGCCCUCACAGAUGGAGCAAUGGGGCGCGCACACCUGAACAAGGGAGGGGAAGGAGUUCUUAUCCCUGAUGCAUGUGACCCCUGCUGCUGUGUCCUUCCCCUAUUGGCUAAGGCUUCUGACAGCUUUGGAGAUUGUGACAUUGGAAUAAAGGAAAAACGUACAGGACUCAUGAAGCGCUGAAAUGUUCACAAAUAUCAAGCAAAAGUCAAUGAAAUUUAUUUUGAGCUAUUUACAUCAUUUAAUAAUUGAGCAAGGUAUACUCCUAUGAACAAAAUUUGGAGCAUGUUUGUCUCUCUCUGCCUGGCGUCUUCAGAAUUUGGAAACUAGUUGUCAGGAGUUAACUUUUAUGUGACAAGCUUUACUAGGUCAGGAGCCUAUCGCUGUUUAUAUUCUCUGCAAAGUUUUAAUUGUGAAAAAGGAUUUGAGAUGGUUUAUAAUCAGCUAUAGAAUUUUAACACGUGCUCUCAAAUGCAAGUUUCUGAUAACUUUGGAGAUUGUGACAUUGGAAUAAAGGAAGAGCUGGAAUGUUCAUGAAUAUCAAGCAAAAGUCAUGGAAAUUUAUUUUGAGCUAUUUACAGCAUUUAAUAAUUGAGCAAGGUAUACUCCUAUGAACAAAAUUUGGAGCAUGUUUGUCUCUCUCUGUCUGCCUGGCAUCUACAGAAUUUGGAAACUAGUUUCGUUCCCAGAUUUCCUAAACUUUCCAGAGAAAAUGGUCUUCUCCCUGGCUCAGCAAGAAGAUGAACUUUAAACACUGAGAAACUGGUCAUCUCCCUGGCUCAACCAGAAGAUGAACUUUAAACACUACUCUCAAUGACUUGAUGUUCCCAUCACUACUCCUGUCAUAAAGGGAGGGGACUCAGAUAUUGAGAAUUUUAUGAUAGUGUGAACUGUCUGGUAUGUCAUUUAAGUAAGCCCGUUGCUGAAAUAUUUUCCAUGUUAUUAGAAAGAGCUGAAGAGAGGGAUUGAGAUGGCUUCUUUAUUUUUUGUCUUUUGGGAAUUAAAGGAACCUGGUUCAACAAGGGCCUACACCUAAGUCUCUUGUUGUACCAGAGUACAAUUUAGGACUGCUCCUGAGGAAGGAAUUAGCUAGAAAUCUAGAGAGUAAGGGUAACAGAUUUACAUAGAAUAACAGCCUCAGUAUUUUUGGUUCCUCUCCAGUAAAGAUCACAAAGAAUAUUGCUAAAUCGCUAAAACACCUUUGCAAUAACGUAAGGGCUUACAACUAUAUACCAAUGUAGCUCAGUUACUAAACUGGAGUAAACUAAUUUCUCUUGUGUAGAAAAAUUGGUUGGCUGUGGUUUUAUAGCAGAUCUGCAAUUAUUAAUAGUUAUGCCAAUAAUCGUUUAACAGUGCAUAUGUUAAUAUAUAUGGAAAGACAAUGUGUAUAGACAGAUGUGUAAAAUUGAAAAAUAAACAUAUAACAAGAGAGAAACAUCUAUCGAACAGACAAUAUACAUACACAUCAAACACAACAGCAGUUUUAGUGACCAUAAUAUUUAUUUCUCAUUUUUACAUUGCUUACUUUAGUGACAACUGAAAAUGACAGUUGGCAAUGCAGCUAACAGUUUCAAUAAAAGUAUAAAACAAAA